RNAcentral lists this long non-coding RNA (317 nucleotides) under Androctonus crassicauda. Lineage: Eukaryota; Metazoa; Arthropoda; Arachnida; Scorpiones; Buthidae. The record is from RNAcentral.
AGAAUGUAUGAUAUAUGUCUAUUAAUAAUGUCAUGCUGUGUGCUCCACAAUUUAUGUAAUGAUAAAGAUGACUUGCCAAAUGAUGUUGAUCCAAAUGCUACUGAAGGAAACAUGGAAGAAAUUGCAACUAUAUAUAAUGAUAGAAACAAUUCAAGUAUUCGACGAGAACUUGAAUUACAACGUGAUGAAAUAGCUCAUUCUUUAAAAUAUUUUUAAACUAUAUAUCUCAUUAAACAUUUUAAGGAUUAGAAAGAUGUUUAUACUCACAAUUGUUCAUAACAACCAAUAUUACCUUGUAUAAUAAUAUAAUAUAUUGC